Molecule: small RNA, 560 nt
Filed under: uncultured Fusobacterium sp.
Lineage: Bacteria; Fusobacteriati; Fusobacteriota; Fusobacteriia; Fusobacteriales; Fusobacteriaceae
Description: bacterial SSU rRNA
Rfam family: Bacterial small subunit ribosomal RNA (bases 1-341)
Source: RNAcentral
CAUGCCCCUUAUACGCUGGGCUACACACGUGCUACAAUGGGUAGUACAGAGAGUCGCAAAGCCGCGAGGUGGAGCUAAUCUCAGAAAACUAUUCUUAGUUCGGAUUGUACUCUGCAACUCGAGUACAUGAAGUUGGAAUCGCUAGUAAUCGCGAAUCAGCAAUGUCGCGGUGAAUACGUUCUCGGGUCUUGUACACACCGCCCGUCACACCACGAGAGUUGGUUGCACCUGAAGUAGCAGGCCUAACCGUAAGGAGGGAUGCUCCGAGGGUGUGAUUAGCGAUUGGGGUGAAGUCGUAACAAGGUAUCCGUACGGGAACGUGCGGAUGGAUCACCUCCUUUCUAAGGAGAAUAUGUCUUUCUCUAUUCUAUUGGUAAUGUUCUUAGAACAUUGUACUGAACAUUGGAAACUAUAUAGUAGAAUAAACAAGAAAAAAAUUAACUCUAACAAUUUCUUAGAGUUAGCUGUCAAAAAAAAUAGGUUAAAAUAAUUAAGGGCACACAAAGGAUGCCUAGGUAGUAAGAGCCGAUGAAGGACGUGGUAAGCUGCGAUAAGCCUAG